Ornithorhynchus anatinus (platypus) is the source of this 73-nucleotide non-coding RNA. The record is from Rfam. NCBI's taxonomy places the organism in Eukaryota, Metazoa, Chordata, Mammalia, Monotremata, Ornithorhynchidae.
ACAGGAAAAUGACCUAUGAAUUGACAGACAGUAUAUUUAGAUUGUCUGUCAUUUCUGUAGGCCAAAGUUCUGC